UAAGGAAUAUUGCUCAAUGGGGGAAAUCCUGAAGCAGCAACGCCGCGUGGAGGAUGAAGGGUCUAUGACUUGUAAACUCCUGUAAAGAAGGAAAAAAUUCCCAUUAGAUGGGAGAUGAUGGUACUUCUGGAGUAAGCCCCGGCUAACUACGUGCCAGCAGCCGCGGUAAUACGUAGGGGGCAAGCGUUGUCCGGAUUUACUGGGUGUAAAGGGUGCUCAGGCGGAUUUGUAAGUCAGAGGUGAAAUCUUACAGCUUAACUGUGAAACUGCCUUUGAUACUGCAAGCCUAGAGUAUGGAAGAGAGUGAUGGAAUAUCUGGUGUAGCAGUGAAAUGCGUAGAUAUCAGAUAGAACACCAAUGGCGAAGGCAGUCACUUGGUCCAUUACUGACGCUAAAGCACGAAAGCGUGGGUAGCAAACA
This 420-nucleotide ribosomal RNA is filed under the name uncultured bacterium. Its description in RNAcentral is "bacterial SSU rRNA". It matches the Rfam family "Bacterial small subunit ribosomal RNA", at positions 355 to 774 of the family's 1533-position model. The record is from RNAcentral.